Molecule: ribosomal RNA, 450 nt
Filed under: uncultured bacterium
Lineage: Bacteria
Description: bacterial SSU rRNA
Rfam family: Bacterial small subunit ribosomal RNA
Source: RNAcentral
GGCCUAACACAUGCAAGUCGAGGGGUAUAUUUCUUCGGAGAUAGAGACCGGCGCACGGGUGCGUAACGCGUAUGCAAUCUGCCUUUUACAGAGGGAUAGCCCAGAGAAAUUUGGAUUAAUACCUCAUAGUAUUACAGGAUGGCAUCGUCCAGUAAUUAAAGUCACAACGGUGAAAGAUGAGCAUGCGUCCCAUUAGCUAGUUGGUAAGGUAACGGCUUACCAAGGCAACGAUGGGUAGGGGUCCUGAGAGGGAGAUCCCCCACACUGGUACUGAGACACGGACCAGACUCCUACGGGAGGCAGCAGUGAGGAAUAUUGGUCAAUGGACGCAAGUCUGAACCAGCCAUGCCGCGUGCAGGAUGACGGUCCUAUGGAUUGUAAACUGCUUUUGCACAGGAAGAAACAUCCCGACGUGUCGGGACUUGACGGUACUGUGAGAAUAAGGAUCGG